AUGAGGACUGAUAGAAGGACACU
This 23-nucleotide non-coding RNA is filed under the name Cricetulus griseus (Chinese hamster). The record is from RNAcentral. Lineage: Eukaryota; Metazoa; Chordata; Mammalia; Rodentia; Cricetidae.